RNAcentral lists this transfer RNA (93 nucleotides) under Gloeobacter kilaueensis JS1. Its description in RNAcentral is "tRNA-Leu (TAA) (tRNA-Leu-TAA-2-1)". It matches the Rfam family "tRNA". From Rfam's summary of the family: Transfer RNA (tRNA) molecules are approximately 80 nucleotides in length. Lineage: Bacteria; Bacillati; Cyanobacteriota; Cyanophyceae; Gloeobacterales; Gloeobacteraceae. The record is from RNAcentral.
GGAUUGCUGGAAAUACUGUCCAGAGCUUAUCAGCGCCGGUCUUAAAAACCGGAGAAGGGAAACCUUCCGUGGGUUCGAAUCCCACCCUCUCCG